Musa acuminata AAA Group (dessert banana) is the source of this 533-nucleotide long non-coding RNA. RefSeq lists it as uncharacterized. Lineage: Eukaryota; Viridiplantae; Streptophyta; Magnoliopsida; Zingiberales; Musaceae. The transcript has 2 exons. The record is from RefSeq and is a predicted model, not a curated record.
UUGGCUUCGCCGUCUCCUCCAAAUUACGACCUUCAAUCUACUGCCUGACAUGGAUUCUCUCGUUCAUGCGCUCACUUGUAGUGCUGAUGAGUGGGCCAGUGAUAAGAAACAAGAUCAAUUGUCUGUACCAUCUGAGAUCCGAACAAUUCGAUGGCGAAGUAAGUGAGGCUCUCUUCUGGCGGUUGAUCCAAUCUUUGUGCUAAAUGCCAUAAGCAGCUGCCAUAGACAAAUACAAGUACUAAGAAGUGGCAACUGUUUUGCAGCAAGCAUAAGUGUUUUCACAGAAGACUACUUUUAAGCUCAUGUCAGAACUGAAGCGCAGUAAUAUUAAAUUAAAUUAGCUGAUACCAUUUUAUGGCUUUUGUACCAAUUGCACUAUGAUAAAUGCUCAGUUCCUGUAUCUAAUUUUUUGGGUACGUUCUUAGUGUAAUCUUUUGAGAGAGUAUAUUCAUUCAUUCUUAGUGUUUGAACAAACGGAGGCUUGACAUGUAAUAAAAGCAAAUAUGCAUUCCAAUAUGCUUGUGAACUUUUAA